This 253-nucleotide ribosomal RNA is filed under the name uncultured bacterium. RNAcentral describes it as "partial 16S ribosomal RNA". It matches the Rfam family "Bacterial small subunit ribosomal RNA", at positions 524 to 776 of the family's 1533-position model. The record is from RNAcentral. RNAcentral also lists the same sequence under 1 other name.
GACGAACCGAGCGAACGUUGUUCGGAAUCACUGGGCUUAAAGGGCGCGUAGGCGGGCGGCUAAGUCCGCGGUGAAAUCCUCCAGCUCAACUGGAGAACGGCCGCGGAUACUGGUCGUCUCGAGGAACGUAGGGGUAUGCGGAACUAUCGGUGGAGCGGUGAAAUGCGUUGAUAUCGAUAGGAACUCCGGUGGCGAAGGCGGCAUACUGGACGUUUUCUGACGCUGAGGCGCGAAAGCCAGGGGAGCAAACGGG